This 123-nucleotide small nucleolar RNA is filed under the name Chrysemys picta bellii (western painted turtle). RNAcentral describes it as "Small nucleolar RNA SNORD23 (ENSCPBG00000009053.1)". The record is from RNAcentral. Lineage: Eukaryota; Metazoa; Chordata; Testudines; Emydidae.
UGCCCCGUGAUGAGACCCAUCCUUGCGCUACGAGGAUUCGCAGCACUGCAUGCUGGGAAUGUGAAGGUCACCCGGGGUUUCCCGGGCCCUGCCCAGUGGGGAAGGACCUGGGGACUGAGGGCA